Long non-coding RNA from Carassius carassius (crucian carp), 1924 nucleotides. RefSeq lists it as uncharacterized. The record is from RefSeq and is a predicted model, not a curated record. The transcript is spliced from 3 exons. NCBI's taxonomy places the organism in Eukaryota, Metazoa, Chordata, Actinopteri, Cypriniformes, Cyprinidae.
UUUGGCAUCUCUCCACUGCUCGCUGGUAAUUGCCUUUCUUGUGGCCUUGCCUCUGGCUUCCAACCCCUCUAUUUCAGGAGCAGAAAUGAAGUCACUCUUCACUGAAAUUCCAUGCCAUAAUCGUCCCAUUCCUCAGAAGCCAAAGAAUUCAGACGGUAAAGCAGUAAAUGGGAGCUGUACUUGAAUUAAUGGAAAUAGCUGCCUGGAGAUCCCAAAGAUGGCUGCAAAGUGGACUGACUGAAACUGGAAAUGGUCUGGGUUUCUGAAGUGUUUUUAAAGAGCAUUGCUUGGCUAUCUUUGAAUGAAGAAGAGGAGUUUUAGGACUGAACUGAGAAUGUUUCAAGACUUUUAAUUUCUACAACAUCCACUCAGGGGCUGAUUACUUCUCUUCCAAGCCUUUCCAUGCUGCCCUCAGGAGUGAUCUCUAUGCUUGGUAUAUUCUUCAUGGCGUAAGAUGUUUCACUUACAGCAACACUACGUUUUCAUGGGCCUGCCAGAAUCCAAAAUUAAAGAGUAUUUUUUUUCUGCUUUCCCUCAGAACAGCAACCAUACUGAUGUAAUCUAUCAGUUUUAGACUAAAGUCAAAAUCAAAUCAAACUAUUUUUAUCUUGUGAUCUAAUAUGCAACUGUGGUGUAGUUCCUUUACUGUAUAUCCUAGGAUUUUCACUUCUACCAAUUGUAUUUAGUCUUCAAAGUUGUGCUUAUUUGUGAAGAUUAUUAUUAUUAUUAUCAGAUUUUCACCAACAAUAUGUUUUGAUUCAAUUCGCAUAUUUAUUGUCAUAAUGCACAUUUUCCAUCUCGUCUAAUCACUGACAAAAUCGAAAACCCUUUGUUAACAAACUUUCUUGUCUGUAAUUUCAUGACAAGAUUACCAGUGCUUGUGGCUUGCAGAGAGUUUGUAAGUUUGGAAUAUAUUUCCAGCUGUCAAUUUUACUCUGAAGUCAUGAGCUAAGUGGCCUCAGAGCCUUUCAAGGCUCCGGUUCUGUGACUGUGGAUAUGCUUAGUUUCAUUCACCGAGCCGAUGCUAGACCUGACAGAGGAUGGAGGGUCUUCCAGCCAGUGAAAUGCGCUUCUGCCACUUUUGUCUACUAUGCUCAUAAAGUUCAACCAUAUAUGCAUGGACAGAGGCUCCUUGUGAAAAACAAGAUGGCCAUGCAGAGCUUUGCCAAGAGAAACAUAAGUAGACAGAAAAGCAUGCUCAAGCCUGGAGAAUAUUCUUCUCCUCGUGGCAGAUCCAUCAUUUUUGAGUUCCACAUGGUUUGUGUCUGAAAUGUUAAGCAGUGUAUUAUAAUGUGUUGGGUUUGUGGAGUUUGUUUAACCUUUCUUCUUUCUCUCUAAACCUGAUACGUUCUUUAUUGCUAAUUUACUUGUCUGAUACGAUCUAUUUCUUACAUUUUAUGAGUUGGAGUUAUAACGCAACUUUAGCAAGCAAUGCAACACAAAAAUAGUUAUUAAAAUAAUUUGUGAGAAUUCAGAAUGUUAUAUUUAUAACACAGUGUUACUAUCAAUAAAGAUUAUUUGCGGUGUUCAUUCACAUUUAUGCAGAGAAUUUGAAGAUACAGAAUGUUCUGUUUGAGCCCACAUACAUAUACAUGUGGUUUUGAUGUCAGCAAGAUUCAGUAUCACUCAAAAUGUAUUAUGCUGAAUAAUUUAGAUGCAUGGAAAUGCAAACUCUCAGCCAAAACCGUUUUCCGUCUUUUUUUUUUCCCACUCAAGUAUGUUGUUGUAGAUAGUAAUAUUUGACUUGGCUUUACACAAUGGCAAAACCCAAUGUAACACCUUCUGCUUCAGAAAAGCACGUUAUGUGAUUCAGAAGUGAGAUUUAACAGUGACUGGUUGCAUGUGUAUUCUGACAUUUAAUAAACUGUCAUAAUGAAGUGGAGGUCCAUAAGGCUUACAUUUUCCCUGAUACCAAACAUAAAAU